RNAcentral lists this ribosomal RNA (450 nucleotides) under uncultured bacterium. RNAcentral's name for it is "bacterial SSU rRNA". It matches the Rfam family "Bacterial small subunit ribosomal RNA", at positions 354 to 796 of the family's 1533-position model. The record is from RNAcentral.
GUGGGGAAUCUUGCGCAAUGCGCGAAAGCGUGACGCAGCAACGCCGCGUGAGGGAAGACGGCCUUCGGGUUGUAAACCUCUUUCAGGAGGGACGAAGGUUCAGGCGCGAAUAGCGUCCUGGACUGACGGUACCUCCAGAAGAAGCCCCGGCUAACUACGUGCCAGCAGCCGCGGUAAUACGUAGGGGGCUAGCGUUGUCCGGAAUCAUUGGGCGUAAAGCGCGCGUAGGCGGCCCGGUAAGUCCGCUGUGAAAGUCAAAGGCUCAACCUUUGAAUGUCAGCGGAUACUGCCGGGCUAGAGUCCGGAAGAGGCGAGUGGAACUCCUGGUGUAGCGGUGGAAUGCGCAGAUAUCAGGAAGAACACCAACGGCGAAGGCAGCUCGCUGGGACGGAACUGACGCUAAGGCGCGAAAGCGUGGGGAGCGAACAGGAUUAGAAACCCUUGUAGUCC